CCUACGGGUGACAGCAGUGAGGAAUAUUGGUCAAUGGACGAGAGUCUGAACCAGCCAAGUAGCGUGAAGGAUGACUGCCCUAUGGGUUGUAAACUUCUUUUAUAUGGGAAUAAAAUGUUCCACGUGUGGGAUUUUGUAUGUACCAUAUGAAUAAGGAUCGGCUAACUCCGUGCCAGCAGCCGCGGUAAUACGGAGGAUCCGAGCGUUAUCCGGAUUUAUUGGGUUUAAAGGGAGCGUAGGUGGAUUGUUAAGUCAGUUGUGAAAGUUUGCGGCUCAACCGUAAAAUUGCAGUUGAAACUGGCAGUCUUGAGUACAGUAGAGGUGGGCGGAAUUCGUGGUGUAGCGGUGAAAUGCUUAGAUAUCACGAAGAACUCCGAUUGCGAAGGCAGCUCACUGGACUGCAACUGACGCUCAGGCACGAAAGCGUGGGUAUCGAACAGGAUUAGAUACCCCAGUAGUC
Molecule: ribosomal RNA, 460 nt
Filed under: uncultured bacterium
Lineage: Bacteria
Description: partial 16S ribosomal RNA
Rfam family: Bacterial small subunit ribosomal RNA
Source: RNAcentral